Molecule: ribosomal RNA, 360 nt
Filed under: Triticum aestivum (bread wheat)
Lineage: Eukaryota; Viridiplantae; Streptophyta; Magnoliopsida; Poales; Poaceae
Description: partial small subunit ribosomal RNA
Source: RNAcentral
AUGCCGGAGGGCACGGUGGUGGCAGCGACGGUCUUUGAGCCGUCGUCGGUGAGGGAGCGCGACCGUGGAGGCCGGGCUGAGGUGGGGAUCCCCGACCGGGUGGUCGUGGAGGUGGAGGAUGACACCCCGCCGCGGGCCGACGUGGUCGAGCGAGAGGGGACUGAUGGUGGUGGAGGCGGCGUCGUUUUGGAAGAGACGCUGCGGGCGGCGGUGCCGGAGGCCACCCUGGCAGCUGGGCCGGAGACGGCGACGCAGGGCGUCCCGGCGUCCGGGUCAGAGACGGCGACGCGGGGCGUCCCGGCGUCCGGGUCAUUGUCGGCGCUGGGAGGGGCGUUGGAGGAGGUGCUGGCCGCGUCGUGA